UCAGACGAUGCGUCAUGCAUAUCAAUAAGCGGAGGAAAAGAAACUAACAAGGAUUCCCUUAGUAACGGCGAGUGAAGCGGGAAGAGCUCAAAUUUGAAAUCUUCAAGGUUCUACCUUGACGAAUUGUAGUUUAAAGAAGUGUUUUCGGUUAGAGGAGUGGUAAAAGUUCUUUGGAAUAGGACAUCAUAGAGGGUGAGAAUCCCGUAUUUGACCAUUAUCUCCAGCUUUGUGAUACACUUUCAAAGAGUCGGAUUGUUUGGGAAUGCAGUCCAAAAUGGGUGGUAAAUUUCAUCUAAAGCUAAAUAUUGGCGAGAGACCGAUAGCGAACAAGUACCGUGAGGGAAAGAUGAAAAGAACUUUGAAAAGAGAGUUAAACAGUACGUGAAAUUGUCCAAAAGGGAAGCGUUUGACACCAGUGUUGUUUUUCCGAAAAUCAAUUAAAAAGAGUUGGAUUUUGUGUUGUAUUGACCUUAACAGCUUGCUUCACUCUUUUCCUGCUUUUUUUAAUGCACUUUUCGUUUAACAAGUCAACAUCAGUUUCUUUUGUUGUAAAAGGGUCAUUGGAAGGUGGCUUUCUCUUCGGAGAAAGUGUUUAUAGCCUUUGAUCUCUGCAAUCGGAGGGACUGAGGUCUGCAGCGUAGAUCCUUCGGGGUUAGAUACAUUUGUGCUAAGCUACAGCUUUUCGUAGACAACUUGUUGACUAUGAUCAGUCAUGUAGCUUACUCGCUUAUGCUAUUUUACCUACGCUUAGGAUGUUGAUAUGCAUGACUGAUAU
RNAcentral lists this ribosomal RNA (775 nucleotides) under uncultured Neocallimastigales. RNAcentral's name for it is "partial large subunit ribosomal RNA". It matches the Rfam family "Eukaryotic large subunit ribosomal RNA", at positions 18 to 634 of the family's 3401-position model. The record is from RNAcentral. Lineage: Eukaryota; Fungi; Neocallimastigomycota; Neocallimastigomycetes; Neocallimastigales.